RNAcentral lists this ribosomal RNA (586 nucleotides) under uncultured bacterium. Its description in RNAcentral is "bacterial SSU rRNA". It matches the Rfam family "Bacterial small subunit ribosomal RNA", at positions 339 to 917 of the family's 1533-position model. The record is from RNAcentral.
CUACGGGAGGCAGCAGUGGGGAAUAUUGGACAAUGGGCGAAAGCCUGAUCCAGCCAUGCCGCGUGUGUGAAGAAGGCCUUCGGGUUGUAAAGCACUUUCAGUGAGGAAGAAAGCCUUGAGGUUAAUACCCUCGAGGGAGGACAUCACUCACAGAAGAAGCACCGGCUAACUCCGUGCCAGCAGCCGCGGUAAUACGGAGGGUGCGAGCGUUAAUCGGAAUUACUGGGCGUAAAGCGCGCGUAGGCGGCUUGAUAAGCCGGUUGUGAAAGCCCCGGGCUCAACCUGGGAACGGCAUCCGGAACUGUCAGGCUAGAGUGCAGGAGAGGAAGGUAGAAUUCCCGGUGUAGCGGUGAAAUGCGUAGAGAUCGGGAGGAAUACCAGUGGCGAAGGCGGCCUUCUGGACUGACACUGACGCUGAGGUGCGAAAGCGUGGGUAGCAAACAGGAUUAGAUACCCUGGUAGUCCACGCCGUAAACGAUGUCGACUAGCCGUUGGGCUCCUUGAGAGCUUUGUGGCGCAGUUAACGCGAUAAGUCGACCGCCUGGGGAGUACGGCCGCAAGGUUAAAACUCAAAUGAAUUGACGGA